Molecule: unclassified non-coding RNA, 840 nt
Filed under: Hevea brasiliensis (rubber tree)
Lineage: Eukaryota; Viridiplantae; Streptophyta; Magnoliopsida; Malpighiales; Euphorbiaceae
Source: RNAcentral
UAUGGUUGCUGUGUGUUAGUGGAUGAAAUAGUGCAAAAACCCUCUGGCUUGCUUUCCAUGAUUUCAGAUAAGCGGCCUUCCUGCUCAUCUUUGAGCCGUUAUGUACUAACCACACGAAGAUGUUACUGCAUCCUUUCAAGGCUUCCAUUCUUUGAACUGCAUUUUGGUGUAUUAAACAGCAUUUUCACAGAAGAAAGGUUGGAACGGUUAACAAAAGAAAUUGGUGUUUUCGAAUUGGAAUCCUUGGAGGGUUAUAGCAAAGAAGAAAAUUUAGAGGGCAAUUUAGAUGGUAUAUCACCAAAUUGUGGAUAUGCAGGAGAAGUGCUUGAUGGAACAGCGGAAAAUUUCCAAUCAAGCUCAAUAGAUUCUAUGCCUGGAGGUGUCGCUAAUGAUGGGAAUCACCUGGAGCAUCCAAUUCCUGAAGGGCAUAUUCACUUGUCAAAGAAAGGGAAUGAGGAUAAUGUUAUUACAGCUGAUUCUGAAACAGAGAUAGGCGUUGGCAAAGGAGAAUCUGGCAGUAGAAAACUUGACGAUUGUGAUAUUGAUGUUGAUUAUUUAUCCAACAAACAAGCAGAAGAAAGACGUUUACCAAAUGCUGUUCUUCCUCUCCUACGCUAUUAUCAGUAUGAAAGCUCAGAGUCUUCUUCUAGUUUCCAGGGUUCUCCAAGUGAAGACCGGAACUUUAGGAGUGAUGUUGAUGAUACAGAGACUGAAGAGGCAUCUUUUUCUGGCCAGGAGGAAUCUAAUGAUCAUAUGGAUAUUCUUGAAUGGGCCAAGGCAAACAACUAUGGAUCACUGCAGAUAAUAUGCAAGUAUUACCAGUUGCAUUGUCCUUCUAGG